AUUGAACGCUGGCGGCAUGCUUUACACAUGCAAGUCGAACGGCAGCGCGGGCUUCGGCCUGGCGGCGAGUGGCGAACGGGUGAGUAAUACAUCGGAACGUGCCCAGGAGUGGGGGAUAGCUCGGCGAAAGCCGGAUUAAUACCGCCUACGACCUGAGGGUGAAAGCGGGGGAUCUUUGGACCUCGCGCUAUUGGAGCGGCCGAUGGCAGAUUAGCUAGUUGGUGGGGUAAAGACCUACCAAGGCGACGAUCUGUAGCUGGUCUGAGAGGACGACCAGCCACACUGGGACUGAGACACGGCCCAGACUCCUACGGGAGGCAGCAGUGGGGAAUUUUGGACAAUGGGCGAAAGCCUGAUCCAGCAAUGCCGCGUGUGUGAUGAAGGCCUUCGGGUUGUAAAGCACUUUUGGCGGGAACGAAAAGGACUGUGCCAAUACCACGGUUCGAUGACGGUACCCGCAGAAUAAGCACCGGCUAACUACGUG
This 484-nucleotide ribosomal RNA is filed under the name uncultured bacterium. RNAcentral's name for it is "partial 16S ribosomal RNA". It matches the Rfam family "Bacterial small subunit ribosomal RNA", at positions 29 to 507 of the family's 1533-position model. The record is from RNAcentral.